CACAAACAAUGGAUAAGAACUAUGAACAAGAAGAUUCCGUAGGAUUCAACCUAUCAGAGAGGACCUUGAAGUUCUGCUUUAUGAGCCUGCAGGCAAAGAGUGAUCAUUUGCCUCUCAAGCAGCCUCUGGUCAUCUAUCUGCCUUUGAGCCAUCAAGAUGCCGAUGUCUUCUCUUCCAGCAGCUAUUUUGUCUCACAUGACAGCUAUUAACAAUGUGCCUCCUCCUCCACUUCACAGUAUACCAAACUUGAAAAAGUCUAAGCACAUUAAUUAUGGCCAGUUGAAUGCAUUAUGCCACAUUAGAGGACAACACAGAGAGAGAGAAGAAGGCAUGCAACUUUGAUAUUGCUUGGAUUUCUGUCAAGAGGGAUCAUUUUCCCCUGUGCAUUGCUGCCUCCUCCUUGCACCCAGUGCCUUUCGACAUGGAGUAAAGAAUGAAGUCCACACACUCCCGAGACCUAUUGCCUGAUGUGAAUCCUGUCUCAGCCACUUACCCUCUGUGUGACUUUAGACUGCUUACUACAUUUCUCUGCCUUGGUUUUUUCAUUGGUAAAAUGGAGAUAACAGUACUCACUUUAAAGGGUUACUAGGAUGAUUAAAUGAGCCUAAUAUAUGUAAAUAGCGUCUGGCACAUAGUAAGGGUUCCAGAAGUGUUAGUUAUUUUUAUUAUUUUUGUUAUGCAAAAAAGCUCAUCCAAUAUUUUAAGUGUCUUGAAAAAUUUUAACAUCCAAGCUUUGAAUCUAUCUUAUAUGUUGGUCCCUUUUCUAAUGCAUGAGAUGCUAAUCAAGGCUUUGAAUGUCCUUUUUGCUUUCAUUUUCGUUUUGCUUUCUGGCCCAGACGCAUUUCAUUUUUCAAAAUACUUCUAGUUUUUUUUUCUCUUUGGGGGGUCAUAAUAAGAGAGCUUGAAUCAUCUAGAGCUAGUUCUCUCAAAGUAUCCCCUCUAAAUAAAUGUGAUCAGCCUUACUCUUCCUGGAUUGAAUCAUUCCUCUUGGGUGGUGUCGUCUUGUGAGACAAUUAUCUCAUUCAGGUCCAAUCUGGCUGUACUGCCUGACUCCCUCUAGUAAGUCUUAUGUUUACUAUGUCUUUUGUUAGAAACCCAAAUCCUGAAAUUGUUGGAUGUGUUCUUUUGGAGCACUGGUACACACCAGGGGCCUGGGGGAACAGGUUUUAAGGUAUGUGUAUAUAGGUUUUGCAUCAUUCUGUUAGAAAUACAAUAUAUAGUUACAAAUACAAAAUCAGAUAGGAAGAUAAAUAUUUAUUUGGAAUGAGGAUAAAAUUACAACAAAUUAAUAAAAGCUUGGAAGUUCAGGUCCCUUUUCUCACUUGACAUUUCUUUAGACAAUUUACCAGAAAUACAUUCACAGGAAUUAUUUAAAAACUUCAGAAUUCAAGUGAUGUCAACAAAUUGAGAGGCAAUUUAGGAAAAAUGUAUUUCUCCAUAUUAUUAGUUCUUUAUGUAUUAUAGAUGAAAAGUGACCAAUAAAUUACACUUUUCCCCUAUAAUAAAAAUAGAAAGGCUGAGAAUUAAAUGAUUCAAGGUUUUAAAUUUUUGUACAUAGAACUCACAAAGGGCAUUAGUUUUGAUUCUAAAAAGUUUCUUCUGUUAGAAUAAAGGCAGUAGGUUGGUAUAUUAUCCUGGGAUUUUUUAUUGAAGAUAAAAUAAAAAAUUAAUAACAAAGGGGGGAUGAUAUCACUUUGGAUUUCUAAAUUUUUGAGUGCAAAUUUUUCAUCCUAGUAGACUACAAGCUCCAUGAAGGCAGAUUUAUUUUAUUUAUUUUAGUGCUUCCUACUCCUUGACAUUUGGCAUAGAGUUCAAUGUUUUGCACUGGAUUUUAUUUUGAUGUUCAGUAG
Molecule: long non-coding RNA, 1850 nt
Filed under: Homo sapiens (human)
Lineage: Eukaryota; Metazoa; Chordata; Mammalia; Primates; Hominidae
Description: HSALNT0348191
Source: RNAcentral